RNAcentral lists this ribosomal RNA (305 nucleotides) under uncultured bacterium. Its description in RNAcentral is "bacterial SSU rRNA". It matches the Rfam family "Bacterial small subunit ribosomal RNA", at positions 334 to 654 of the family's 1533-position model. The record is from RNAcentral.
UUGUCCUACGGGGCGCAGCAGUGGGGAAUAUUGGGCAAUGGACGCAAGUCUGACCCAGCAACGCCGCGUGAAGGAAGAAGGCUUUCGGGUUGUAAACUUCUUUUAAGGGGGAAGAGCAGAAGACGGUACCCCUUGAAUAAGCCACGGCUAACUACGUGCCAGCAGCCGCGGUAAUACGUAGGUGGCAAGCGUUGUCCGGAUUUACUGGGUGUAAAGGGCGUGCAGCCGGAGAGACAAGUCAGAUGUGAAAUCCGCGCGCUCAACCCGCGCACUGCAUUUGAAACUGUUUCCCUUGAGUAUCGCAG